Molecule: unclassified non-coding RNA, 152 nt
Filed under: Gigaspora sp.
Lineage: Eukaryota; Fungi; Glomeromycota; Glomeromycetes; Diversisporales; Gigasporaceae
Description: partial internal transcribed spacer region
Rfam family: Eukaryotic small subunit ribosomal RNA (bases 1-46)
Source: RNAcentral
AAGUCGUAACAAGGUUUCCGUAGGUGAACCUGCGGAAGGAUCAUUAAAAAAUGAGGUAUUUUAUACCUCUUGUAUUUAAAACCCAAUUCUUUUUAAAAUAUAAAUUUUGUUUAAAAAAAAAAAAACUUUCAACAAUGGAUCUCUUGGCUCUC